GGGAGAAUAUUCCGUAGGGGUAGCGGUGCUGGCUGUAAACCAGUUGCUUAACGGCUCGGGUGGUUCGACUCCAUCUUCUCCCA
RNAcentral lists this transfer RNA (83 nucleotides) under Caudoviricetes sp. Its description in RNAcentral is "tRNA-Tyr". It matches the Rfam family "tRNA". From Rfam's summary of the family: Transfer RNA (tRNA) molecules are approximately 80 nucleotides in length. Their secondary structure includes four short double-helical elements and three loops (D, anti-codon, and T loops). Further hydrogen bonds mediate the characteristic L-shaped molecular structure. tRNAs have two regions of fundamental functional importance: the anti-codon, which is responsible for specific mRNA codon recognition, and the 3' end, to which the tRNAs corresponding amino acid is attached (by aminoacyl-tRNA synthetases). tRNAs cope with the degeneracy of the genetic code in two manners: having more than one tRNA (with a specific anti-codon) for a particular amino acid; and 'wobble' base-pairing, i.e. permitting non-standard base-pairing at the 3rd anti-codon position. The record is from RNAcentral. Lineage: Duplodnaviria; Heunggongvirae; Uroviricota; Caudoviricetes.